Molecule: long non-coding RNA, 668 nt
Organism: Aethalodelphis obliquidens (Pacific white-sided dolphin)
Lineage: Eukaryota; Metazoa; Chordata; Mammalia; Artiodactyla; Delphinidae
Exons: 2
Source: RefSeq, a predicted model, not a curated record
CAGGGCUCACCUCCUGCCACUCCAUGACUCCACUCCAUGCCAGGAACUUGUUGUUGACCAUCUGGACAGGGCCCGCGACACCACCAGGUCCCACUGCCUGGGGAGGAGACAGGGGAUGAGGCCCAUGAAGAUCUUCUUCUUGGACGAGUACAGGAGCAUGAGCACGCGCACCUCGCAGGGGGAGAUGUGGGGGAAGAGCAUGCAGCCCGCCUGUGGGUGGGGGUGGGGAGGGAACGAUCAUCACGGGACAGAAAUCCUCAAGGUUAACACCAGGACCCUAAAUGACUGGUGUGUAGCCAGAACAUGUCAUUCUGGGAGCCUGUGAACGUGCACCCUGGUGUCCCCCCCCCCACCGUGACUCUGGGGUCAGGACUGGGGCCCCAUGUGCCAGGUGAGGGUCCUGAGAGGGCUCCACCUGCCGCCCACGUGCCCCGAGGUCAUCCCUGUCCUGUGGAGUUUGCUGCUGGGCCCCGCUGACAGAGGCCACCAGGCCCGGGGGGUUAAGAGCACAAACGCAGGACCAGACUGCCUGGGAGUAACCCUGGCUCUGCUACCUCCUAGCUGUGUGACCUAAGGCAGGUCACCCCUGGACCUCAGUUUCCCCACGUGUAAAACAGCACAACAACGGCGCACAGAGUAAGCGCCACAUAAACGCUCAUUACACAAGA